AGUGAACGCUGGCGGUAGGCCUAACACAUGCAAGUCGAACGGCAGCACAGUAAGAGCUUGCUCUUACGGGUGGCGAGUGGCGGACGGGUGAGGAAUACAUCGGAAUCUACUUUUUCGUGGGGGAUAACGUAGGGAAACUUACGCUAAUACCGCAUACGACCUACGGGUGAAAGCAGGGGAUCUUCGGACCUUGCGCGAUUGAAUGAGCCGAUGUCGGAUUAGCUAGUUGGCGGGGUAAAGGCCCACCAAGGCGACGAUCCGUAGCUGGUCUGAGAGGAUGAUCAGCCACACGGGAACUGAGACACGGUACAGACUCCUACGGGAGGCAGCAGUGGGGAAUAUUGGACAAUGGGCGAAAGCCUGAUCCAGCCAUACCGCGUGGGUGAAGAAGGAGUUCGGGUUGUAAAGCCCUUUUGUUGGGAAAGAAAAGAAGCAGGUUAAUACCCCGCUGUUCUGACGGUACCCAAAGAAUAAGCACCGGCUAACUUCGUG
RNAcentral lists this ribosomal RNA (492 nucleotides) under uncultured bacterium. RNAcentral's name for it is "partial 16S ribosomal RNA". It matches the Rfam family "Bacterial small subunit ribosomal RNA", at positions 29 to 507 of the family's 1533-position model. The record is from RNAcentral.